RNAcentral lists this ribosomal RNA (225 nucleotides) under uncultured bacterium. RNAcentral describes it as "partial 16S ribosomal RNA". It matches the Rfam family "Bacterial small subunit ribosomal RNA", at positions 357 to 578 of the family's 1533-position model. The record is from RNAcentral.
GGGAAUUGGACAUGGGCGAAGCCUGAUCCAGCCAUGCCGCGUGUGUGAAGAAGGUCUUCGGAUUGUAAAGCACUUUAAGUUGGGAGGAAGGGCAGUAAGUUAAUACCUUGCUGUUUUGACGUUACCAACAGAAUAAGCACCGGCUAACUUCGUGCCAGCAGCCGCGGUAAUACGAAGGGUGCAAGCGUUAAUCGGAAUUACUGGGCGUAAAGCGCGCGUAGGUGG